This 450-nucleotide ribosomal RNA is filed under the name uncultured bacterium. RNAcentral describes it as "bacterial SSU rRNA". It matches the Rfam family "Bacterial small subunit ribosomal RNA", at positions 329 to 793 of the family's 1533-position model. The record is from RNAcentral.
UGCCAGACUCCUACGGGAGGCAGCAGUGGGGAAUAUUGCACAAUGGGGGAAACCCUGAUGCAGCAACGCCGCGUGAAGGAAGACGGUUUUCGGAUUGUAAACUUCUAUCAAUAGGGAAGAAAGAAAUGACGGUACCUAAAUAAGAAGCCCCGGCUAACUACGUGCCAGCAGCCGCGGUAAUACGUAGGGGGCAAGCGUUAUCCGGAUUUACUGGGUGUAAAGGGAGCGUAGACGGCAGCGCAAGUCUGGAGUGAAAUGCCGGGGCCCAACCCCGGAACUGCUCUGGAAACUGUGAAGCUGGAGUGCAGGAGAGGUAAGCGGAAUUCCUGGUGUAGCGGUGAAAUGCGUAGAUAUCAGGAGGAACACCGGCGGCGAAGGCGGCUUACUGGACUGUAACUGACGUUGAGGCUCGAAGGCGUGGGGAGCAAUCAGGAUUAGAUACCCGAGUAA